UACAGAGGUCCCAAGCGUUGUUCGGAUUCACUGGGCGUAAAGGGUGCGUAGGUGGCCAGGUAAGUUCGGUGUGAAAGCUCGGAGCUCAACUCCGAAAUGUCAUUGAAUACUAUCUGGCUUUAUUGAGGGUCGGAGGGGAGACUGGAAUUCUCGGUGUAGCAGUGAAAUGCGUAGAUAUCGAGAGGAACACCAGUGGCGAAGGCGAGUCUCUGGACGACACCUGACACUGAGGCACGGAAAGCUAGGGGAGCAAACAGG
RNAcentral lists this ribosomal RNA (258 nucleotides) under uncultured bacterium. Its description in RNAcentral is "partial 16S ribosomal RNA". It matches the Rfam family "Bacterial small subunit ribosomal RNA", at positions 524 to 776 of the family's 1533-position model. The record is from RNAcentral.